AAAAGCAAUUUGUCAAAAAACAAUCGAAAUAAGCUGAAAAGAAGCACGGUCAAUUUUCAUAUUUGAGAUCAUUGUUACACGAAAUAAGUUUCCAUAGCCCUCAGCUAGAUUUGAUUUCAAAACGAAAAAAUAAGCGAAUACUUGAAGUCCCGAAUUAUAGUCCCUGAUUAUAGUAUAUAGGCACAUUUAGACGAUAUCGCUACUCGUAAACGAUCAGUGCACACGCUCAUCCGUUAUACCCGUAUACCUGCACGUAUAUGCGUAACCAAUAGUCUACUGCAAGUAGGCACUUAUUUUAUCGUUAUCCACCGUUUGUGCGAUU
Molecule: non-coding RNA, 322 nt
Organism: Cinara cedri
Lineage: Eukaryota; Metazoa; Arthropoda; Insecta; Hemiptera; Aphididae
Source: the annotation of a GenBank genome assembly